This 3228-nucleotide ribosomal RNA is filed under the name Triticum aestivum (bread wheat). RNAcentral's name for it is "partial small subunit ribosomal RNA". The record is from RNAcentral. Lineage: Eukaryota; Viridiplantae; Streptophyta; Magnoliopsida; Poales; Poaceae.
AUGGCGCGACGGAGAACCACCGUGUCAUUCACGACGCCGGUAGUAGUGCUCGUUGUGUUGUACAUGCUGAUCGGUGUCCCUGCGGCGCCGGUGAUCGGGAUGCCGGGCUGCGAGACCAGGUGCGGCAACAUGAGCGUGCCGUACCCGUUCGGACUCGGCGCGGACAGCCGGUGCUACAUGCCGGGGUUCAACCUAACCUGCGACCACGGACGGCUCCUCCUCGGCAACCUGCGGGUCAUCGAAUCCAUCGACCCCAAUUUCUACAUGCUGACCGUCGUCCACACCGGCGACGUUCGAACCGACGGCGCGGGGCGCGGCAUUUUUGGUGACGGAGGCGUCCUCGGCGACGACGGGCCGUACGCGCUGUCCUCCGCCGGGAACCAGCUCGUCCUCCUGGGCUGCAACGUGCGGGCGACGCUGAGGAGCGGCAACGUCACCAUGAGCAGCUGCUCCUCCUUGUGCACCAAUGGCUUCGACGCGCAUACGGAGAUGCUGUCCAGGCUGGACACCAGCAUGCUCUGCUCCGGCAUCGGGUGCUGCCAGGCGCGCGUCGUCGUUGACCACGAGGAGCUCGUCCCCGUCACCUCCUACGACGUGCAGCUCGAGUACUUCGGGAGCAACCGCAGCCGCGACGGCGAGCGGUGGCCGCCCCGAGUGUUCGUCGCCAGGGACGAGUGGUUCUCGCCGUGGAGCGUCUCGCAGCAGCUGUCGUCGGACCUGCAGGCCGCUGCGUCAAUGGAAGUUCCUGUUUUUCUCAGCUGGGAGGUCAUCGUUAGGGGUGCCCACAACCAUGGGGAUGACGACGCAGACGCUGGUUCCUUGCCGGCCUGGGAGUGUCCUAGGGACGCGGCCCGCAUGGUCUGCAAGAGCAACCACACUGGGUGCACAAAACGUGAAAGAGGCGGCUACACGUGCUACUGCAAAACGGGCUACGAGGGCAACCCCUACAUCACCAACGGAUGCCAAGACAUUGACGAGUGUGAGAAUUCAAAAAAGAAUGGGUGCUUCGGCAAAUGUACCAAUACAGAUGGGUCAUUUCAGUGUGAGUGUCCACAUGAAACCCGUGGGAACGCCUACUCGCCGGGUGGCUGCUUCAGUGUUCUCACACGUGAAUGUAGCAGGUCGUGCGGCAAUGUGAGUGUGCCAUACCCAUUCGGCAUUGGGCCAGCCGAGUGCUACAUGCCAGGGUUUAACCUCACAUGCGACACAAGCCAACACCCCCCGUGGCUGAUGCUUGGCAGCCUGCGAGUCAUUGACAUAUCCCUUCAUAACAACACCAUGCAUGUAAUCAACAGCGACAUGGUCCUUGACAUCUAUAGUGGCAUAGGAAAACAAACCUCCACAUUUGAGAGCACGGGCCAUGGAGACAAUGUGCCUUACUCGUUGUUGACAAGGAACGAGCUCAUCCUCAUGGGGUGCGGUGUGCAGGCGGUGCUGUCCGGGGCGGGCAACCCAGCAAUCUUGAGUGGUUGCUCUUCUUUUUGCUCCCCAAACAUCGAGAAUCGCACCUACACCAUCACCUCAAUGGUGCCACCUGCAGCAGGAGGUGGUAGCAAUGAUGACGAUCAAUACUGCUAUGGCAUGGGCUGCUGCCAGGCACGCAUCUCUAUGUCUAACGAUGGAAUGCCCCAUGAAUUAUGGAUUGAUUGGAUGGACCCCAAUACUGCAACAGAUGAGACAUCAUCACACUCCUACGCAUUCAUUGCACAAGAAGGGUGGUUCAACAAGCAUCGGGUAUCAGCUCAGCUACUGCGCUCGUCGUCGACAAAAUAUUUUGUGCCAAGCUUGGAGGUCCCCAUGGUUCUAGAUUGGGAGGUCUUGCAGUUGCAACCCAUUGGCUCACGGGCGGUAGCUAAUGUGAGCUCACCACAUCAAUAUCUCAAGUGUCCUGACAUGUGCAGGAGCAAGAACAGCCUCUGCAAACAAGGGAUCAGAGGAUAUUCAUGUCACUGUAGUGAGGAUUACCAUGGCAACGCGUACGUUAUUGACGGAUGCAAAGGACGUAGGCAAACAUACUUUAAAGGUAUGAGCAUCGUAAUAGGAGCUGCUAUUGGGGCCGGACUCGUACUUCUAGUUCUUGCCGGAUUUUUCGUUACCAAGAAAUUAAAACAUCAUAGGGCUGAAUUGUUGAAACUAAAGUUCUUCCAACUAAACCGUGGACAAUUGUUGCAGCAAUUGGUAUCCCAAAGUGCUGGUAUUGCAGAAAGAAUGAUCAUACCCUUGGAAGAGCUAGAGAAGGCGACACACAAUUUUGAUAAAGAUCUUGUGAUUGGUGGCGGAGGGCAUGGUAUUGUUUAUAAAGGGAUUUUAUCAAACCAACACAUUGUAGCCAUCAAGAAACCCAAGAAGGUGUUUCAGAAGGAGAUCAAUGAUUUUAUAAAUGAGGUGGCAAUACUAUCGCAAAUCAACCAUCGAAAUGUAGUCAAACUCUACGGUUGUUGCCUUGAAACUGAAGUCCCAAUGUUGGUCUAUGAGUUCAUAUCCAAUGGAACCCUUUCUGAGCAUCUUCAUGUCAAAGGACCAAGAUCAUUGCCAUGGACUGAUAGGUUGCGGAUAGCCAUUGAAACAGCCAAAUCUCUUGCCUAUCUUCACUCAACUGCUUCAAUACCUAUCAUACAUAGAGAUGUCAAGUCUGCUAACAUACUUUUGGAUGAUACUUUGACAGCAAAGGUUGCAGACUUUGGAUCUUCAAGGUACAUUCCUAUGGAGAAAUCCGGGGUAAUGACCGGGGCUCAAGGUACAAAGGGAUAUUGGGACCCUAUGUACUUCUACACCGGGCGGCUAACUGAGAAAAGUGAUGUAUACAGUUUUGGGGUCGUCCUCGUGGAACUGCUAACUCGGAAGAAACCAUUUUUAUAUUCUUCCUCUGACGGCAAGGGUCUUGUUUUACAUUUUGUUACGUUGUUUGAAGAAGGCAAUUUGAAUCAGAUAUUGGACCCACACGCUAUAGAGGAAGGUGGCAAGGAAGUCAACAAAGUGGCUAUUAUUGCGGUAGCAUGCAUAAAACUAAGAGGAGAGGAUCGUCCAACCAUGAGGCAAGUUGAGUUGACACUGGAAAGCCUCCGUGCAUCCGAGGAUUACACCUUAGAUAAUGUGGUGGAUAAGAAAGUUGAGAAUAAACAUGUCAUGAUAGAUAUUACAUUUACUGAAGACAAAAGAAGCAACAACUCAACCAGGCCAUACAGUAUGGAAGAAGAGUUCAUGUUAUCCGCAAGAUAUCCUCGGUAG